This 766-nucleotide ribosomal RNA is filed under the name uncultured Bacteroidota bacterium. RNAcentral's name for it is "bacterial SSU rRNA". It matches the Rfam family "Bacterial small subunit ribosomal RNA", at positions 78 to 847 of the family's 1533-position model. The record is from RNAcentral. Lineage: Bacteria; Pseudomonadati; Bacteroidota.
CUUCGGAUGUUGAGACCGGCGCACGGGUGCGUAACGCGUAUGCAAUCUACCUUAUACUAAGGGAUAGCCCAGAGGAAUUUGGAUUAAUACCUUAUAGAUAAUAAAAAAGGCAUCUUUUUAAUUAUAAAGAUUUAUUGGUAUAAGAUGAGCAUGCGUCCCAUUAGUUAGUUGGUAAGGUAACGGCUUACCAAGACGAUGAUGGGUAGGGGUCCUGAGAGGGAGAUCCCCCACACUGGUACUGAGACACGGACCAGACUCCUACGGGAGGCAGCAGUGAGGAAUAUUGGUCAAUGGGCGCAAGCCUGAACCAGCCAUGCCGCGUGCAGGAUGACGCAUCUAUGGUGUGUAAACUGCUUUUGUACAGGAAGAAACAUCCCGACGAGUCGGGACUUGACGGUACUGUAAGAAUAAGGAUCGGCUAACUCCGUGCCAGCAGCCGCGGUAAUACGGAGGAUCCAAGCGUUAUCCGGAAUCAUUGGGUUUAAAGGGUCCGUAGGCGGCUUAAUAAGUCAGCGGUGAAAGUUUUUGGCUUAACCAAAAAAUUGCCAUUGAUACUGUUAGGCUUGAAUUUUUGUGAAGUAACUAGAAUAUGUAGUGUAGCGGUGAAAUGCUUAGAUAUUACAUGGAAUACCAAUUGCGAAGGCAGGUUACUAACAAACGAUUGACGCUGAUGGACGAAAGCGUGGGUAGCGAACAGGAUUAGAUACCCUGGUAGUCCACGCCGUAAACGAUGGAUACUAGCUGUUCGGAAGUAAUUCUGAGUGGC